RNAcentral lists this ribosomal RNA (253 nucleotides) under uncultured bacterium. RNAcentral's name for it is "partial 16S ribosomal RNA". It matches the Rfam family "Bacterial small subunit ribosomal RNA", at positions 524 to 776 of the family's 1533-position model. The record is from RNAcentral.
UACAGAGGGGGCAAGCGUUGUCCGGAUUUACUGGGCGUAAAGAGCGUGUAGGCGGCCAAGCAGGUCCGUUGUGAAAACUGGAGGCUUAACCUCCAGACGUCGACGGAAACCGCGUGGCUAGAGUCCGGAAGAGGAGAGUGGAAUUCCUGGUGUAGCGGUGAAAUGCGCAGAUAUCAAGAAGAACACCAAUGGCGAAGGCAGCUCUCUGGGACGGUACUGACGCUGAGACGCGAAAGCGUGGGGAGCGAACAGG